RNAcentral lists this ribosomal RNA (315 nucleotides) under uncultured bacterium. RNAcentral's name for it is "bacterial SSU rRNA". It matches the Rfam family "Bacterial small subunit ribosomal RNA", at positions 341 to 655 of the family's 1533-position model. The record is from RNAcentral.
ACGGGAGGCAGCAGUGAGGAAUAUUGGUCAAUGGGCGAUGGCCUGAACCAGCCAAGUAGCGUGAAGGAUGACUGCCUAUGGGUUGUAAACUUCUUUUAUAAAGGAAUAAGUCGGGUAUGCAUACCCGUUUGCAUGUACUUUAUGAAUAAGGAUCGGCUAACUCCGUGCCAGCAGCCGCGGUAAUACGGAGGAUCCGAGCGUUAUCCGGAUUUAUUGGGUUUAAAGGGAGCGUAGAUGGAUGUUUAAGUCAGUUGUGAAAGUUUGCGGCUCAACCGUAAAAUUGCAGUUGAUACUGGAUGUCUUGAGUGCAGUUGA